Molecule: ribosomal RNA, 428 nt
Filed under: uncultured bacterium
Lineage: Bacteria
Description: bacterial SSU rRNA
Rfam family: Bacterial small subunit ribosomal RNA
Source: RNAcentral
UGGGGAAUAUUGCGCAAUGGGGGAAACCCUGACGCAGCGACGCCGUGUGAGGGAAGAAGGCUUUCGGGUCGUAAACCUCUGUCAGGAAGGAAGAACCUCUCAAGGCUGAACAAGCCUUGGGACUGACGGUACUUCCAGAGGAAGCACCGGCUAACUCCGUGCCAGCAGCCGCGGUAAUACGGAGGGUGCAAGCGUUAAUCGGAAUCACUGGGCGUAAAGCGCGCGUAGGCCGUCUUUUAAGUCGGACGUGAAAGCCCUCGGCUCAACCGGGGAACUGCGUUCGAUACUGGGAGACUUGAGUCCUGGAGAGGGUGGCGGAAUUCCGGGUGUAGGAGUGAAAUCCGUAGAUAUCCGGAGGAACACCAGUGGCGAAAGCGGCUUCCUGGACUGUAACUGACGCUCAGACGCGAAAGCUAGGGUAGCAAACG